CCCAGCUACGCAGCAGGCUGAGGCAGGAGAAUCACUUGAACCCAGGAGGUGGAGGUUGCAGUGAGCCGAGAUCAUGCCAUUGCACUCCAUCCUGAACGACAGAGUGAGACUCUGUCUCAAAACAAACAAACAAACAAACAAAAAAUUAGCUGGACAUGGUGCCUUAUACCUGCAGUCUCAGCUACUAGGGAGGCUGAAGUGGGAGGAUCACUUGAUCCUGGGAGGUCAAGGCUGCAGUGGUGUGAUCUCGGCUCACUACGGCCUCCCCAUCCUGGGUCCAAGCGAUUCUUGUGCCUCAACCUCCCGAGUAGCUGGAAUUACAGGCGCGUGCCACCACGACUGGCUAAUUUUGUAUCUUUAGUAGAGACGGGGUUUUUCCACAUUGGUCAGGCUGGUCUCAAACUUCUGACCUCAGAUGAUCCGCCCACCUUGGCCACCCAAAGUGCUGGGAUUACAGGUGUGAACCACUGCGCCCGGCCAGAAGUUUUUCUUGUGAGUUGAGGUGAACAUCUGAAUCCCCUCGGGGAACUGAGGUAUGUCCCCUUCAGGGAAUGGCCCCUCUUCAUCCAAAAAUGGGGCCCACAGGUGAUAAUCUGUUGGGUUUCCCAGAAUGAAGACAUCUGGCAUAAUUAGAGCGUGAGGGUCAGGCUGACGGGGGCUAGUACCCCGAUCCAGGGGAGAGGUGGUCACAGGUCUCGCUCCACCUGCCCUGAGCCCCAUCUCAUCUUUUUUUU
This 734-nucleotide long non-coding RNA is filed under the name Homo sapiens (human). Its description in RNAcentral is "lncAB511.1". Lineage: Eukaryota; Metazoa; Chordata; Mammalia; Primates; Hominidae. The record is from RNAcentral.